GCUUAGCCCUGAUUAGAACGACAUCCUUUUUUGUUUUUCACAAAAAAGAUAUAGUGGAAAGCAGGAAAUAGC
This 72-nucleotide small RNA is filed under the name Polaribacter reichenbachii. RNAcentral describes it as "Flavo-1 RNA". It matches the Rfam family "Flavo-1 RNA". Lineage: Bacteria; Pseudomonadati; Bacteroidota; Flavobacteriia; Flavobacteriales; Flavobacteriaceae. The record is from Rfam by way of RNAcentral.